UACCCUGGACGGGGGAUCACUCGGCUCGUGGGUCGAUGAAGGACGCAGCUAAAUGCGCGUCGCCAUGUGAACUGCAGGACACAUGAAUAUUGACUUUCCUAACGCUCAUUGCGGCCCUACGGGUUCAUACCCAAGGGUCACACCUGUCUGAGGGUAGCA
Molecule: ribosomal RNA, 159 nt
Filed under: Mesoveliidae sp. YW-2014
Lineage: Eukaryota; Metazoa; Arthropoda; Insecta; Hemiptera; Mesoveliidae
Description: 5.8S ribosomal RNA
Rfam family: 5.8S ribosomal RNA
About the family: 5.8S ribosomal RNA (5.8S rRNA) is a component of the large subunit of the eukaryotic ribosome. It is transcribed by RNA polymerase I as part of the 45S precursor that also contains 18S and 28S rRNA.
Source: RNAcentral